Molecule: long non-coding RNA, 77 nt
Organism: Dermochelys coriacea (leatherback sea turtle)
Lineage: Eukaryota; Metazoa; Chordata; Testudines; Dermochelyidae
Exons: 2
Source: RefSeq, a predicted model, not a curated record
UGCUUGGGGAAGGACAAACACCAGAGGAGGUUCCUGAUGCAACCUUGAGAUUUCAGCCAUCCAUGUUAUCAACGGCC